This 424-nucleotide ribosomal RNA is filed under the name uncultured bacterium. RNAcentral's name for it is "partial 16S ribosomal RNA". It matches the Rfam family "Bacterial small subunit ribosomal RNA", at positions 360 to 776 of the family's 1533-position model. The record is from RNAcentral.
AAUAUUGGACAAUGGGGGGAACCCUGAUCCAGCCAUGCCGCGUGUGUGAAGAAGGUCUUCGGAUUGUACAGCACUUUAAGUUGGGAGGAAGAGUUGUAGGCUAAUACCUUGCAAUUUUGACGUUACCAACAGAAUAAGCACCUGCUAACUUCGUGCCAGCAGCCGCGGUAAUACGAAGGGUGCAAGCGUUAAUCGGAAUUACUGGGCGUAAAGCGCGCGUAGAUGGUUCAGUAAGAUGGGUGUGAAAUCCCCGGGCUCAACCUGGGAACUGCAUCCAUAACUGCUGGGCUAGAGUAUGGCAGAGGGUGGUGGAAUUUCCUGUGUAGCGGUGAAAUGCGUAGAUAUAGGAAGGAACACCAGUGGCGAAGGCGACCACCUGGGCUAAUACUGACACUGAGGUGCGAAAGCGUGGGGAGCAAACAGG